CCUACGGGGGGCAGCAGUGGGGAAUAUUGCACAAUGGGGGAAACCCUGAUGCAGCGACGCCGCGUGGGUGACGAAGUAUUUCGGUAUGUAAAGCCCUAUCAGCAGGGAAGAAGAUGACAGUACCUGACCAAGAAGCCCCGGCUAACUACGUGCCAGCAGCCGCGGUAAUACGUAGGGGGCAAGCGUUAUCCGGAUUUACUGGGUGUAAAGGGAGCGUAGGUGGCAUGGCAAGCCAGAAGUGAAAACCCGGGCUUAACCCCGCGGAUUGCUUUUGGAACUGUCAGGCUGGAGUGCAGGAGGGGCAGGCGGAAUUCCUGGUGUAGCGGUGAAAUGCGUAGAUAUCAGGAGGAACACCGGUGGCGAAGGUGGCCUGCUGGACUGUAACUGACACUGAGGCUCGAAAGCGUGGGGAGCAAACAGGAUUAGAUACCCCUGUAGUC
Molecule: ribosomal RNA, 440 nt
Filed under: uncultured bacterium
Lineage: Bacteria
Description: partial 16S ribosomal RNA
Rfam family: Bacterial small subunit ribosomal RNA
Source: RNAcentral